UCCCAGGUGGCAUAGUGGUAAAGAAUCUGUUUUCUAAACAGGAGACCCAGGUUCAAUCCCUGGGUCCGGAA
Non-coding RNA from Bos taurus (domestic cattle), 71 nucleotides. The record is from Rfam. Lineage: Eukaryota; Metazoa; Chordata; Mammalia; Artiodactyla; Bovidae.